GCCUAGCCCCGAUUGUAAUGAAAAUCCCGCAAUGAAGCGGCGGAGCCGCGUAAUGAGGAAUUGUAAUGGAAAGCGGGAAACAGC
Molecule: small RNA, 84 nt
Filed under: Chryseobacterium profundimaris
Lineage: Bacteria; Pseudomonadati; Bacteroidota; Flavobacteriia; Flavobacteriales; Weeksellaceae
Description: Flavo-1 RNA
Rfam family: Flavo-1 RNA
Source: RNAcentral